This 253-nucleotide ribosomal RNA is filed under the name uncultured bacterium. RNAcentral describes it as "partial 16S ribosomal RNA". It matches the Rfam family "Bacterial small subunit ribosomal RNA", at positions 524 to 776 of the family's 1533-position model. The record is from RNAcentral.
UACGAACCGUCCAAACGUUACUCGGAAUCACUGGGCUUAAAGGGUGCGUAGGCUGCGCGGCGGGUGGGAUGUGAAAUCCCCCGGCUCAACCGGGGAAUAGCGUCCCAAACCGCCGUGCUCGAGGGAGACAGAGGUGAGCGGAACUGAUGGUGGAGCGGUGAAAUGCGUUGAUAUCAUCAGGAACACCAGUGGCGAAGGCGGCUCACUGGGUCUUUCCUAACGCUGAGGCACGAAAGCUAGGGGAGCGAACGGG